Molecule: long non-coding RNA, 2276 nt
Filed under: Cricetulus griseus (Chinese hamster)
Lineage: Eukaryota; Metazoa; Chordata; Mammalia; Rodentia; Cricetidae
Description: lncRNA (ENSCGRG00015032889.1)
Source: RNAcentral
GCUACUCACAGCAGUUCCUGCAACCUCGGCUGCCAUGAUCUUUUUUAUUAAUUUAGCCAGUUCGUUGAGAUUCGUGGCAGGAUUUGAGCCUCAUACGAGACCCUUCUCCUGGCCUUUGUGGAGGUGAUUAAAUCAAUUUCUUCUUCUUAAAAAAAAAAAAAAGAAAAAAAGAGAGAGAAAAUCUUCCAUUGCAUUUGGCAUGAGAGCACAGCUAGACUGGAAAUGGAGAACUAUCAGUCGGGGGACUCGAGGGGGGCUCUGGGAUGUCCCAUGCCAAAUCGGGUGCUGGGAGGCCGAGAGUGAGCUGUUUUGUGUGCACCCAGGCAUGAGGACACAUGGACACCUCCUAAGUGACAAAGUUUGGCUUUCUUGGGAUUUCUUUGUGAGAAUACUGUGUGGACAGUCACAGACGUCUGACAAAAGCCGUGUUUUAUUUCCUCCUUUCCAGGAGUUACCAGGCUUCAGAAAUCCUCUCAUUAAAGAAGAUGCUGGAAGGAGGGUUUCUUGGAAGAGCUAGGCCUUAAGCAAGACUGGGAAAUAUAUGUGGCAAACAAGGAAGAGGAGGAAUCCACUUCAGACAAAAAUGGGGCUGAUGAGAUGGCUCAUCAGAUAAAGGAACCUGCCGCCAAGACUGAAGACCUGAGUUCUAUGCCCAGGACUGAUGGAAAGAAGAAGCCCUUAAGUUGUCCUUUGACCUCUACAUGUGUACCAUGGUGCAUAUACCCCCCCGCCACAAACACCCACACCCAUACCCCAAACAAAUACAAAUGUAAUUUUAAAAAUUUAAAGAUCUCUUCUAGUACUAGGUAGGGUUAGGGGCUGAAUCCCACAUUCCAUCUGGAGUUUUUUGGUUUUUGUUGUUGUUGUUGUUGUUGUUGUUGUUGUUGUUGUUUUCAAGGCAGUGUUUCUCUGUGGCUUUGGAGGCUAUCCAGGAACUAGCUCUUGUAGACCAGGCUGGUCUCGAACUCACAGAGAUCCACCUGCCUCUGCCUCCCAAGUACUGGGAUUAAAGGCGUGUGCCACCACCACCCAGUUUCAUCUGGAGCUCUUGUGACUCCAAAUUCUCAAUUCACACUUGACCUUCAGGAAGUCAUGAAGAUGUCUGUCAAGUCAGGAGAAGAGAUUGAAGACUUUGCUUGUUUGAUGACUUAACUUUUAAACACUUGGAUAUAUGGAAGCUGGCCUUGACUGGACUCUUCUCUGUGCUUCAAAAUGUCCCUGGGUGAGUUUAUGGUCCCUAGUCCAUUGAUGCCUUGUUCUCACUUAUAUCACGAUUAAGCCGAGCCUUGUCUCUGAAGAGCUCCACUCUUUCCCAGCAGGCCUGCAGGUGCAAUAGACAGACUUAAUGGGUGGCAAAGCCAAUGGACUCAAGGCCUUGGUGAAUUCCAAGAUCAUGAGGGAGCAGAAAGGUUGAAUCAUGGGAAGACUAGAAGAAAGGAUGUGUGAUAGGUAGGGUUUUAGUUGAGGGGGGGUGGUAGGGGAGGACAGGAGGGAGAAGGGAACUGGGAUUGUCAUGUAAAACAAUCUUGUUUCUAAUUUAAAUAAAAAAACAAUCUGAAGAAAAAAAAAAUCCCUUACCCCCAGCCAGGCCCGGUGGGCCAUCUGAUAGCCCUGCAUUCUCCCAAAUAUGUAUCUCGAGAUUUGGGAUCCUCUAGAGCAGUGGUUCUCAGCCUUUCUAAUGCUGCAACCCUGUAGUAAAGUUCCUCAUGUUGUGGUGACCCCCAAUCAUAAAAUUAUUUCAUUGCUAUUUCAUUACUAUCAUUUUGAUAAUGUUAUGAAUUGUAAACAUCUGUGUUUUCUGAUGGUCUUAGGCGACCUCUGUGAAAGGGUUACUCAAUCCCCAAAGGGGUCACAACACACAUAUUGAGAACUGCUGCUCUGUGGGCACACAGGUCAUGCCUUACAGAGAGGCAGGGUAGGUUUCUGAGUGACUGAAGAACCUGGAAAAACCCUGUAGUUUUCCAAAAUAAUGGAUCCCUACCAUGUCCCCUGCUUCUGAGCUGAGGCCUGAAACACCUCUACAGGCAUCAAAGUCUCUUGCUCCUUUUAGCUCUCUUGAACCUACCCUGCUGUCACCAUACUCCACCAAACUGCAGCAGGCUCUAGAGUGCAGGGAGCAGGGAGCAGGGGAGUAUAGAAGGCUAUAAUGAUACAACAGCAAGACUUUUCAGACUUCUACACUGAAGUAGUUUCCAGAAUAUCCAGCAGACUGACAGGGAGGUCCUGCAUUGACGGGAGGGAGGCAAGGAGAGAGAGAGAGAGAGAGAGAGAGAGAG